CUGUAAGCCUGUGAAGGUGUACUGUGAGGUAUGCUGGAGGUAUCAGAAGUGCGAAUGCUGACAUAAGUAACGAUAAAGCGGGUGAAAAGCCCGCUCGCCGGAAGACCAAGGGUUCCUGUCCAACGUUAAUCGGGGCAGGGUGAGUCGACCCCUAAGGCGAGGCCGAAAGGCGUAGUCGAUGGGAAACAGGUUAAUAUUCCUGUACUUGGUGUUACUGCGAAGGGGGGACGGAGAAGGCUAUGUUGGCCGGGCGACGGUUGUCCCGGUUUAAGCGUGUAGGCUGGUUUUCCAGGCAAAUCCGGAAAAUCAAGGCUGAGGCGUGAUGACGAGGCACUACGGUGCUGAAGCAACAAAUGCCCUGCUUCCAGGAAAAGCCUCUAAGCAUCAGGUAACAUCAAAUCGUACCCCAAACCGACACAGGUGGUCAGGUAGAGAAUACCAAGGCGCUUGAGAGAACUCGGGUGAAGGAACUAGGCAAAAUGGUGCCGUAACUUCGGGAGAAGGCACGCUGAUAUGUAGGUGAAGUCCCUCGCGGAUGGAGCUGAAAUCAGUCGAAGAUACCAGCUGGCUGCAACUGUUUAUUAAAAACACAGCACUGUGCAAACACGAAAGUGGACGUAUACGGUGUGACGCCUGCCCGGUGCCGGAAGGUUAAUUGAUGGGGUUAGCGCAAGCGAAGCUCUUGAUCGAAGCCCCGGUAAACGGCGGCCGUAACUAUAACGGUCCUAAGGUAGCGAAAUUCCUUGUCGGGUAAGUUCCGACCUGCACGAAUGGCGUAAUGAUGGCCAGGCUGUCUCCACCCGAGACUCAGUGAAAUUGAACUCGCUGUGAAGAUGCAGUGUACCCGCGGCAAGACGGAAAGACCCCGUGAACCUUUACUAUAGCUUGACACUGAACAUUGAGCCUUGAUGUGUAGGAUAGGUGGGAGGCUUAGAAGUGUGGACGCCAGUCUGCAUGGAGCCGACCUUGAAAUACCACCCUUUAAUGUUUGAUGUUCUAACGUGGACCCGUAAUCCGGGUUGCGGACAGUGUCUGGUGGGUAGUUUGACUGGGGCGGUCUCCUCCUAAAGAGUAACGGAGGAGCACGAAGGUUGGCUAAUCCUGGUCGGACAUCAGGAGGUUAGUGCAAUGGCAUAAGCCAGCUUGACUGCGAGCGUGACGGCGCGAGCAGGUGCGAAAGCAGGUCAUAGUGAUCCGGUGGUUCUGAAUGGAAGGGCCAUCGCUCAACGGAUAAAAGGUACUCCGGGGAUAACAGGCUGAUACCGCCCAAGAGUUCAUAUCGACGGCGGUGUUUGGCACCUCGAUGUCGGCUCAUCACAUCCUGGGGCUGAAGUAGGUCCCAAGGGUAUGGCUGUUCGCCAUUUAAAGUGGUACGCGAGCUGGGUUUAGAACGUCGUGAGACAGUUCGGUCCCUAUCUGCCGUGGGCGCUGGAGAACUGAGGGGGGCUGCUCCUAGUACGAGAGGACCGGAGUGGACGCAUCACUGGUGUUCGGGUUGUCAUGCCAAUGGCACUGCCCGGUAGCUAAAUGCGGAAGAGAUAAGUGCUGAAAGCAUCUAAGCACGAAACUUGCC
Molecule: ribosomal RNA, 1573 nt
Filed under: Escherichia coli
Lineage: Bacteria; Pseudomonadati; Pseudomonadota; Gammaproteobacteria; Enterobacterales; Enterobacteriaceae
Description: partial 23S ribosomal RNA
Rfam family: Bacterial large subunit ribosomal RNA
Source: RNAcentral